UACAGAGGGUGCAAGCGUUAAUCGGAAUUACUGGGCGUAAAGCGUGCGUAGACGGUUCCGUAAGUCAGAUGUGAAAGCCCCGGGCUCAACCUGGGAAUUGCAUUUGAGACUGCGUAGCUAGGGUGCGGAAGAGGGAAGCGGAAUUUCCGGUGUAGCGGUGAAAUGCGUAGAUAUCGGAAGGAACACCAGUGGCGAAAGCGGCUUCCUGGUCCAGCACCGACGUUCAGGCACGAAAGCGUGGGGAGCAAACAGG
Molecule: ribosomal RNA, 253 nt
Filed under: uncultured bacterium
Lineage: Bacteria
Description: partial 16S ribosomal RNA
Rfam family: Bacterial small subunit ribosomal RNA
Source: RNAcentral